Molecule: long non-coding RNA, 105 nt
Organism: Etheostoma spectabile (orangethroat darter)
Lineage: Eukaryota; Metazoa; Chordata; Actinopteri; Perciformes; Percidae
Exons: 4
Source: RefSeq, a predicted model, not a curated record
AAAGAGUGGAAGAAAUGAAUGGAGGUUCUGACCUCUUGUCCCCCAAAAGGAGACUGGAUCCCCUCAGUGAAGAUGGGAGUUCAGAUGUAGAUGAUCUGAGUCCAG